Molecule: ribosomal RNA, 757 nt
Filed under: Bacillus subtilis
Lineage: Bacteria; Bacillati; Bacillota; Bacilli; Caryophanales; Bacillaceae
Description: bacterial SSU rRNA
Rfam family: Bacterial small subunit ribosomal RNA
Source: RNAcentral
UGCUAAUACAUGCAAGUCGAGCGGACAGAUGGGAGCUUGCUCCCUGAUGUUAGCGGCGGACGGGUGAGUAACACGUGGGUAACCUGCCUGUAAGACUGGGAUAACUCCGGGAAACCGGGGCUAAUACCGGAUGGUUGUUUGAACCGCAUGGUUCAGACAUAAAAGGUGGCUUCGGCUACCACUUACAGAUGGACCCGCGGCGCAUUAGCUAGUUGGUGAGGUAACGGCUCACCAAGGCGACGAUGCGUAGCCGACCUGAGAGGGUGAUCGGCCACACUGGGACUGAGACACGGCCCAGACUCCUACGGGAGGCAGCAGUAGGGAAUCUUCCGCAAUGGACGAAAGUCUGACGGAGCAACGCCGCGUGAGUGAUGAAGGUUUUCGGAUCGUAAAGCUCUGUUGUUAGGGAAGAACAAGUGCCGUUCAAAUAGGGCGGCACCUUGACGGUACCUAACCAGAAAGCCACGGCUAACUACGUGCCAGCAGCCGCGGUAAUACGUAGGUGGCAAGCGUUGUCCGGAAUUAUUGGGCGUAAAGGGCUCGCAGGCGGUUUCUUAAGUCUGAUGUGAAAGCCCCCGGCUCAACCGGGGAGGGUCAUUGGAAACUGGGGAACUUGAGUGCAGAAGAGGAGAGUGGAAUUCCACGUGUAGCGGUGAAAUGCGUAGAGAUGUGGAGGAACACCAGUGGCGAAGGCGACUCUCUGGUCUGUAACUGACGCUGAGGAGCGAAAGCGUGGGGAGCGAACAGGAUUAGAUAC